GUGUCAGCCGCCGCGGUAAGACGAAGGGGGCUAGCGUUGUUCGGAAUUACUGGGCGUAAAGGGCGCGUAGGCGGUUUGCUAAGUCAGGCGUGAAAGCCCUGGGCUCAACCUGGGAUGUGCGCUUGAUACUGGCAGGCUUGAGUGCAGGAGAGGAUGGUGGAAUUCCCAGUGUAGAGGUGAAAUUCGUAGAUAUUGGGAAGAACACCGGUGGCGAAGGCGGCCAUCUGGACUGCAACUGACGCUGAGGCGCGAAAGCGUGGGGAGCAAACAGGAUUAGAUACCCUGGUAGUCCACGCUGUAAACGAUGAGUGCUGGACGUUGGCGGGUUUACCUGCCGGUGUCGCAGCUAACGCGUUAAGCACUCCGCCUGGGGAGUACGGCCGCAAGGUUAAA
Molecule: ribosomal RNA, 393 nt
Filed under: uncultured bacterium
Lineage: Bacteria
Description: bacterial SSU rRNA
Rfam family: Bacterial small subunit ribosomal RNA
Source: RNAcentral